This 274-nucleotide ribosomal RNA is filed under the name uncultured bacterium. RNAcentral's name for it is "partial 16S ribosomal RNA". It matches the Rfam family "Archaeal small subunit ribosomal RNA", at positions 473 to 747 of the family's 1478-position model. The record is from RNAcentral.
ACACCGGCAGCCCGAGUGGUGGCCACUAUUAUUGGGCCUAAAGCGUCCGUAGCCGGUCCGGUAAGUCCCUGUGGAAAUCCUCAGGCUCAACCCGAGGAAAUGCGGGGAUACUGCCGGACUCGGGGCCGGGAGACGCGGAGGGUACUCCAGGGGUAGCGGUGAAAUGCUGUAAUCCCUGGGGGACCACCAGUGGCGAAGGCGCUCCGCGAGAACGGGCCCGACGGUGAGGGACGAAAGCCAGGGGAGCGAACGGGAUUAGAAACCCUAGUAGUCC